CUCUGCGCAAGGGAUCUUUUGGUUCGCUAGACGAAGAAGGGCGCAGCGGAAUGCGAAAUGUGCAGGAGUCGCAGCGAAGACAGCACAUGCCUGAAAUCACGAGAGUGAGACUACCCCUUUGAAUUAAGCAUAUGAGUAAAGGGAGGAAAAAAAACUAACAAGGAUUCCUGUAGUAGCGGCGAGCGAAGAAGGAACAGCCCC
This 201-nucleotide ribosomal RNA is filed under the name Loma embiotocia. Its description in RNAcentral is "partial large subunit ribosomal RNA". The stretch from base 92 to 201 matches the Rfam family "Eukaryotic large subunit ribosomal RNA", at positions 1 to 111 of the family's 3401-position model. The record is from RNAcentral. Lineage: Eukaryota; Fungi; Microsporidia; Glugeidae.